CCUACGGGCGGCAGCAGUAGGGAAUCUUGCACAAUGGGCGCAAGCCUGAUGGAGCAACACCGCGUGAGUGAAGAAGGGGUUCGGCUCGUAAAGCUCUGUUGUUGGAGAAGAACGUGCGUGAGAGUAACUGUUCACGCAGUGACGGUAUCCAACCAGAAAGUCACGGCUAACUACGUGCCAGCAGCCGCGGUAAUACGGAGGUGGGAAGCGUUAUCCGGAUUUAUUGGGCGUAAAGCUGCCGCAGGCGGUUGUAUAGGUCUGAGGUGAAAGCCUUCGGCUGAACCGAAGAAGUGCCUCUGAAACUGGGCAACUUGAGUGCAGCAGAGGACGGAGGAACGUCAUGUGUAGUGGUGGAAUGCGUAGAUAUAUGGAAGAACACCAGUGGCGAAGGCAGCUGUCUGGUCUGCAACUGACGCUGAGGCACGAAAGCGUGGGUAGCGAACAGGAUUAGAUACCCCUGUAGUC
Molecule: ribosomal RNA, 465 nt
Filed under: uncultured bacterium
Lineage: Bacteria
Description: partial 16S ribosomal RNA
Rfam family: Bacterial small subunit ribosomal RNA
Source: RNAcentral